ACCUACUGCUUAAUUUUGAGGGUUCGUUUUUACGAAUACUCAAAAUUAGCACUUUUAGCAACAGAAUAAACUGAACGCAUGUGAAGUUUGUUUGUUGGCGCUGUGCGUUAGCACUUUAAGCAACGGGAUUUAUCCGUUGGCGCCGUGCUUUAGCACUUUGAAAACUGCAUAUAUAUUUAGUGAUAUGACAUCUAAUUUGUAAUAUAUAAAGCUGAUAACUUUUUAAAAUUAUCGAAGUUGAUAGCUUCUAAUCUAUCAAACCUUUUUAACUGGUCAA
RNAcentral lists this unclassified non-coding RNA (277 nucleotides) under Clostridioides difficile. Its description in RNAcentral is "16S-23S ribosomal RNA intergenic spacer (ISR)". Lineage: Bacteria; Bacillati; Bacillota; Clostridia; Peptostreptococcales; Peptostreptococcaceae. The record is from RNAcentral.